RNAcentral lists this ribosomal RNA (775 nucleotides) under uncultured Neocallimastigales. RNAcentral describes it as "partial large subunit ribosomal RNA". It matches the Rfam family "Eukaryotic large subunit ribosomal RNA", at positions 24 to 616 of the family's 3401-position model. The record is from RNAcentral. Lineage: Eukaryota; Fungi; Neocallimastigomycota; Neocallimastigomycetes; Neocallimastigales.
UAUGUGAUCGUCUCUCGCAUAUCAAUAAGCGGAGGAAAAGAAACUAACAAGGAUUCCCCUAGUAACGGCGAGUGAAGCGGGAAGAGCUCAAAUUUGAAAUCUUAAAGGGUUUCCCUUUACGAAUUGUAGUUUAAAGAAGUGUUUUCUGUUGAGGUUUUGGUAAAAGUUCUUUGGAAUAGGACAUCAUAGAGGGUGAGUAUCCCGUAUUUGACCUUUACUUUCAACUUUGUGAUACACUUUCAAAGAGUCGGAUUGUUUGGGAAUGCAGUCCAAAAUGGGUGGUAAAUUUCAGUCUAAAGCUAAAUAUUGGCGAGAGACCGAUAGCGAACAAGUACCGUGAGGGAAAGAUGAAAAGAACUUUGAAAAGAGAGUUAAACAGUACGUGAAAUUGUCAAAAGGGAAGCGUUUGACACCAGUGUUGUUUUUCUGAAAAUCAAUUAAAGAACUGUUUAUGCUAAGCUGUUUAGACUUUAUCAGCUAUCUGUUUAGUUUUGAGCUUUUCUUUAAUGCACUUUUCAGUUAACAAGUCAACAUCAAUUUCUUUUGCUGUAAAAAAGCUUGAGGAAGGUGGCUUGAGAUUCGUCUUAAGUGUUUAUAGCCUCUUGCCUAUGCAGUCGGAGAGAUUGAGGUCUGCAGCGUAGAUCCUUCGGGGCUAAAUGCAUUUGUGCUAAGUUAUAGCAUUUUAUAGACAACUUGUUGACUAUGAUUUGUCUUGUAGCUUACUCGCUUAUGUUAUUUUACCUACGCUUAGGAUGUUGAGCGCAUGUCUCUCUCU